Molecule: unclassified non-coding RNA, 275 nt
Filed under: Hevea brasiliensis (rubber tree)
Lineage: Eukaryota; Viridiplantae; Streptophyta; Magnoliopsida; Malpighiales; Euphorbiaceae
Source: RNAcentral
UUUGGACAAGAAGCAAUUUGGACGUGGACAGUUUGGAUUCACACAAGCUGGGUGCUACUCUUAAGUAUCGAUCAAGUUGUUUUUUUUUUGUCUUUGUUUUAUGUAUCUGAUAAAAAAAAUCCCUUUUGGUAAGUAUUUUGUAUCACUUCUUUGCGUGUUUAUUUUUUUAUUCCCCCUCCUGUAGUCGGAUAUAAUCGGGUUUCUUUGUUGUAGUUAAUUACCUUGUGGUGUUGAAAGGUUAUAUCCCCGAUUACAAGGGGAUAUUGGGUAUAAAA